RNA transcript from Mauremys reevesii (Reeves's turtle), 1559 nucleotides. It is a transcript of the gene named coordinator of PRMT5 and differentiation stimulator, with no coding region annotated. The record is from RefSeq and is a predicted model, not a curated record. The transcript is spliced from 8 exons. Lineage: Eukaryota; Metazoa; Chordata; Testudines; Geoemydidae.
UUCAUGGACAAGUGUGGCUUCCCCAGGCAAAUAAACCAGGUGCUCACAGGAUCCGGUAGAUUCAGCUUUUGAAGUCUUGUGUUCUUGGCAUCAGAGUGGCCCUGAGACCAGCCUGCCACAUUAUAAUCCAGGGCUCCCGUCUUUCGCCAUUGAAACACUAUUUCCAGGUGGAACAUGAUUAGUAUGGAGACAAUCCACUAUUUGCUCAAGGGUGACCUGGUGCUGAGGACUGCAGGAGGCAGAAAGGACAGAGAGGUCACGCCUGCCUUGCAGAAGAUAACGGUGGCUGCAGGUGACUGCACAUGUCAUGAGGAAGAAGAGCUUGUGAAGGGAGGGAAAAUUGUGAAUUGGAGGCCUAGAAAAGGCCGUUUGGCAAGGAACGUUUCUGAUGAUGAGUCUCACCAGAGUAGAUUUUCUGGUUGCCCUUGCUAUGAAAGUGACACUACUCAUUCAGAUUCCUCGGGGCCUCCUAUUAAAUGUAUUGGUGACUUUGAUGACUUCCAGAGUGACCUUGAGAACUGGGAGUUGGAUGAUGAAGCCUGUGUUGUAUCUUUCCCUGAGCUGAAAAUUGAUUCUCAGUACGAGGAAGAGGACUGGGAUAAAGAAUUGGAGGAUGCUGAAUGUAAUCCUUAUGACGCGGAAGAUAUCGACUAUGGUAGUCUUCAGGAAAAUUGUCUACUGGCAUCAUGUACAUGGCAAGAAGAAUCAUUGUAUAAUCCCAGGUGUCACCAUGCAGCUCCACUCUCUCUGAGUUCGCCAAAUAGAAUGCCUGAGGUUGGCCAGUUUGAUGAUGCAGAUGACUGAGGUUUGCCCCUGUUCAGGGCCAUGCUUGGCAAAUUGGACUUUGCUCCAUUGCAGGGAUGCAGUGCAAUGUGGGGUGCCUUCACCUAGCCUAUUGAGUUCCAAACAGGGCUUUUCUGAAAACUUUCUUUGAGAAUAUUAUUGAGCUGCAAAUACACUGAUCAUGAUUGACUGGAAGGAAGCAGAGAGGAUCUCAGACUGAACACUAACCUUAGGUUGUUUCACCAUUCAUUGUUCUAGACGGAAACAAAGUAACGAACAGCUGCAGAAAAGCUCAUUCAGUUGGGUGGUGAGGGGACUAGGUGGUGUGAUAAUUGAUUUGUCUUUUUACUGGGAUCAGUGGUGCUGCUAAGAAUCUACUGGGGAAUUGUUCUAUCUUCUAAACUGGCACAAGGAGAGCUGCAAAUUUCAGAUAGUAUUAUCUGUGUGGAUGCUCUGCAUGGCUGAUAACUAUUAUGCUCAUGGACUUAUGCAGCACUUUCUGCCAAAGGAUCUCCAAACCCUUUAUACCGGGGAACUAACCCUCCCAACUCUGUGGCUAGAAAGGCAUCACACUCAGUUUGCUGCCCUCUGCUGGAAGAAAUCAGAACUGCUCAGCUGCAUGUCAGAGUCCCUAUACUGUUAACCGCGAGUCCCUUUGAGCACUACUUGUUGCUUCCUGUGCUUUUGGAGGAGGUAGAUCUGCAUUCUAUUCCUGCUGCAAUUUGGAAGUUGUAGGUGGUCACAAAUUUGUCACAUUAUACCACAAAUAGUUUAUA